RNAcentral lists this ribosomal RNA (446 nucleotides) under uncultured bacterium. RNAcentral's name for it is "partial 16S ribosomal RNA". It matches the Rfam family "Bacterial small subunit ribosomal RNA", at positions 331 to 794 of the family's 1533-position model. The record is from RNAcentral.
CCAGACUCCUACGGGAGGCAGCAGUGGGGAAUAUUGCACAAUGGGGGAAACCCUGAUGCAGCGGCGCCGCGUGAGCGAUGAAGUAUUUCGGUAUGUAAAGCUCUAUCAGCAGGGAAGAAAAUGACGGUACCUGACUAAGAAGCCCCGGCUAACUACGUGCCAGCAGCCGCGGUAAUACGUAGGGGGCAAGCGUUAUCCGGAUUUACUGGGUGUAAAGGGAGCGUAGACGGCUGUGCAAGCCAGAUGUGAAAGCCCGGGGCUCAACCCCGGGACUGCAUUUGGAACUGUGUGGCUGGAGUGUCGGAGAGGCAGGCGGAAUUCCUAGUGUAGCGGUGAAAUGCGUAGAUAUUAGGAGGAACACCAGUUGCGAAGGCGGCUCUCUGGACUGUAACUGACACUGAGGCACGAAAGCGUGGGGAGCAAACAGGAUUAGAUACCCGUGUAGA